GAUGAACGCUGGCGGCGUGCCUAAUACAUGCAAGUCGAGCGAACGGACGAGAAGCUUGCUUCUCUGAUGUUAGCGGCGGACGGGUGAGUAACACGUGGAUAACCUACCUAUAAGACUGGGAUAACUUCGGGAAACCGGCGCUAAUACCGGAUAAUAUUUUGAACCGCAUGGUUCAAAAGUGAAAGACGGUCUUGCUGUCACUUAUAGAUGGAUCCGCGCUGCAUUAGCUAGUUGGUAAGGUAACGGCUUACCAAGGCAACGAUGCAUAGCCGACCUGAGAGGGUGAUCGGCCACACUGGAACUGAGACACGGUCCAGACUCCUACGGGAGGCAGCAGUAGGGAAUCGUCCGCAAUGGGCGAAAGCCUGACGGAGCAACGCCGCGUGAGUGAUGAAGGUCUUCGGAUCGUAAAACUCUGUUAUUAGGGAAGAACAUAUGUGUAAGUAACUGUGCACAUCUUGACGGUACCUAAUCAGAAAGCCACGGCUAACUACGUG
Molecule: ribosomal RNA, 497 nt
Filed under: uncultured bacterium
Lineage: Bacteria
Description: partial 16S ribosomal RNA
Rfam family: Bacterial small subunit ribosomal RNA
Source: RNAcentral